GACGAACGCUGGCGGCGUGCUUAACACAUGCAAGUCGAACGGACAGGCCCUGCUUUUGUGGGGUGCUCGAGUGGCGAACGGGUGAGUAACACGUGAGUAUACUGCCCUUGAAUUUGGGAUAACUUCAGGAAACUGGGGCUAAUACAGGAUAGGAGCUCUUGCUGCAUGGUGGGGGUUGGAAAGUUUCGGCGGUUGGGGCUGGACUCGCGGCUUAUGCGCUUGUUGGUGGGGUAGUGGCUUACCAAGGCUUUGACUGGUAGCCGGCCUGAGAGGUUGACCGGCCGCAUUGGUACUGAGAGAGGCACCAGACUGCUACGGGAGGCAGCGGGGGGGAACAUGGCGGAAUGGGCGGAAGCCUGAUGCAGCAGCGCCGCGUGCGGAAAGACGGCCUUCUGGUGGAAAACCUCUUUCGCCUGUGACGAAGCGUGAGUGACGGUAAUGAGUAAAGAAGCACCGGCUAACUACGUG
RNAcentral lists this ribosomal RNA (468 nucleotides) under uncultured bacterium. Its description in RNAcentral is "partial 16S ribosomal RNA". It matches the Rfam family "Bacterial small subunit ribosomal RNA", at positions 28 to 507 of the family's 1533-position model. The record is from RNAcentral.